RNAcentral lists this long non-coding RNA (6381 nucleotides) under Sorghum bicolor (sorghum). Its description in RNAcentral is "long non-coding RNA (SBIC_LNC016134)". Lineage: Eukaryota; Viridiplantae; Streptophyta; Magnoliopsida; Poales; Poaceae. The record is from RNAcentral.
CGGCGACCACUCCCUUCGCAAAUACACCAUACUCGAUCCCUCCCCAACUCAAUUGAGCCUUCCACCACUUUCGCCGCACUCUUGCGAACCCAGAGCGCUCCCUAGCACGCCCUCUAACCCGCCCAAUCGCUGGAGCUUCUUCUUCUUCCCCAACUCCGGCCGAAAGCGCCGCCGUGGGCGCUUCACGUGGCCAGCCCUCCUCCGUGCUUCUCCACCAGUUCUGAGCAGCUUGACGAAGUCGUGCUGAGCCCCUGAUGCUCCCCAACUCGUCCCCUCGCCUUCCCGGCGGCCGGAGCGCCAAGUUUUCCCCUAGCCCCGUCCAGAGCUCCGCCAGUGCCGCUGUUCACGUGGCCAUGCCUCCACAGACCACCUCUGGCCAAGUAGAGGGAACCAGAGGGUGUGCGUGAGUCCAAGUGAACUCCCCCGCUGCUCCACUGCCGCCGACGAGCACCCCAACGUCGAAACUGCGAUCUCCGUUUUCAGUUCGCGGCCAGGGACUUCGCGCGACAAUUUGAUGUUCUCCAGGGAUCUAAUUGCACAGACUGUGACUCAGGUGAAUAGUGCUAUAAGGACUUGUUUGUAGAUGUUUUGUUGAAUCUUUGAAAAUUCAUAUCUGGAGUUUGGUAACUCCAAUUUUGGUGAACCAAAUUUUGUUGUGCUCCUUAGGAUGUCUAGUUUUUAUUAAAAAUAUGAAACUGACCAUGUUUUGUAGUAAAAUAAUUAGUUAUGAUUUAUGCCUUUUAAUUAUGUUUCAAAAGGAGAAAUUCAUAUCUCAUUCUGUAUAGCUCCUAUUUCUCUGAAAUUUUUAUGGUGUUCUCGUGAUGUUAUGUGAGUGUUGCAGUAAAAAUUUCAUGUUCAGUAGAUGACAUAUGGUUAUGUUAUUGAUUUAUCUUGUGUAGUGCUUAUUAAAUAGUUCACAAUUAAACUAAAAAUGAAUAAAUGUAAAAUAAAGUUCCUCUGCCUUUAUAUGAGGUUGUUAUAACAUAUAGAUACAUACUUUAGCUAUGUGUUUGUAUAAAAUGUUGAGUUUCUUAUUUAUCUUGCCGUUACAUGCUUCCUUGUGAUGGAAAUUUAUCUUUUUCAUGAAAAUUGCUAUACUUAUCCAAAUGGCAUGAAACUUAUACAGUAGACUUUGGAGAGCAUAUAUGAGCUGCUGUAGUUUUCUCAGAAUUUACGGUGUACUUUUGAUAUAUGGUUAUUACUUUGUCUAUUUACCUAAAUAAAUUAAUAAAGACAUGAAAGGAAUUUAUUUAGAGAUGACCAUGAUGUUUUCUAGUAUCUCUUUGAUGUAUUUCAACUAUUGGUGAGCUGGGUUUUGCCCAGGUCCAAGUUUGGAACAUAAAUGAAAUGUUAUUUGUCUAUAAUUAAAUUAUUAGUGAUUUCUGGAUCAGUUUCUGUAGUUGUGCAAUUUGGACCUACUAAACUUGUGAAUCAUGAUUUGAUGAUGAAAGAUAAAUUGUAGUAAUUUUCAUAAGCUUUCCAAAAUGUUAUGGAUCAUGACGUUUGGUGAUCUAGAACUCUGGUUAUAGAGGUAUAAAGCUUAAUGUCUGAUCCUGUCCAAAGUCUGGACAGAAUUGUUUAUUCAAGCUGUUUGGCUAUUUUAUCUUUUAAAUCAGUUCUCGAAGAUAAUAACAAAGUUGUAGAAAAAUUAUCUAAGCUUUCCAGAAAGUCUAAUAUCACCUUUAUUGGAUGUUUGGAUCUCUAAUUAUGGUUGAAUGAAGUUGUGUAUAUGCUGCUGUCCUGGUUAUGUGUGCAAAUAGAGUUGUUUGUUUUUAGCUAGCCUUUACUUAAAUAAUGAGUUGCUUAAUUUCCAAAUUAGAAUUUGAGUGCUUUUGGGAUUGUGUGAUGACCUGAGGUCAUUAUCUUUCAAUGACCUUUGGCACUUAAUUAUUGUUUGAUGUUAAUACUUAAUUACUGCCAUUAAUAUUUAAUUAAGGAUUGAUUAAGAUAAAUAGAAAACCUAAUCAUUUUAGGUUUUGUUUGAUCUUUGGGAUUGAUAGACAACCACUGGUUACCUGGCAUGAUAUGUUCCUUGGUUAUAGAUUAUUUCAUAUAAAUGAUCUUUGUUGCCUGAUAGCUACACAACCUUGCUUAAUGAAGAUGAUAAAAUUUGCUUAGUAAUAAUCUAUGCUUUGAUAACUAAGUUAGUUUGUUUCUAUACCGUGAAGGUAAGUUGUACUCGAGGUAGUUAUAAUUGUUAUUAUCAUCCAAGAACGUGUAACCUGUCUUUAUCAUGUCAUGAACAUCUCAUUGAUCAUGCAUAUGCACCUCUACGUGUAGACUACGCUCCGGAGGAAUCUAAUCCUCACUGGGUUGCUUCCGAGUUUGUGGAUCCAUCUGGUUUUGCUGAGUUGUCGGACUUCCCUUCCGGCCAAGGCAAGCCCCGGACAUAUCCUUGUAUUUUCAUAAAGUCAUUUAUAUCACUUGAGUUAAUAUGAUGCAUUAGGUGAAUAGGAGUUGAGUGAAUCCUAUUUGCUGCAUUACCUACCUUGGUGAUUCUUAUAUUAACCUUGAUACCUGUUUAUGAAAAUGCUUAGUAUGCUUAGUCCUGCUUAUUAGAUAGGUUUUCAAAUGAGAAAGUUUGAAGGGUUGUUGUGGAAUACUUUUGUGGUCAAUAAUGUUCAACUUGAGACCGGUCGGCGGACUUGCUUUAAGAAUGGAGUCUUAAAGUAGUGUCUCCAACUGUGUCGAUUAAGGACCGUUCCGUUGAUGGCCUGCUGUGUUUGAGACCUUUGAGUACAGCCCACAUGCGGUGGUAAGCCUUACCUAUAGCUAUUCCGAUACUUGAGAACGGCUAACCGCGCACUGGGAGUGGAGAGAUGGCGAGAGUAGCGUGUACCCACCUUACGGAUCUGAGAUGACCGGGAAACAUCUAGAUUGGCUGUAGGAUGGUGGUGUACUGUACUCUCGGGUGACGCUGGACCCGUUCUUGUAUGGGAGGAUCUAUAGAAACAGGUUGACAUAUGCAAGAUUAAGUUCUACAUAUGUCGUGUGGUACUGAAUCCCCAGCUGGGUCUAAUCGAUUCGAAUCGCCGUGUUUCCUCGGAUAUGGAGCCUCAAUCCUCACACCAUCAUCGUAGUAAUAAAUGGAUCUUUGGUAAGAGAAAGAGGUGGUAUGCUUAUGAAAGUUUGAUAAUAGUUUUGGUUAGUCAUAAAUGAUGAUCUUGAGUUAAAACUUGAAAGUAGGUUUACUCUUAGUAAGCUUUUAUGCAAAAGAAAUGCUUGAUCUUGAUAAAGCUUUACCUUAAAUCCCUAUAGCCUACAUACCUGAGUCUUCACCUCUUUUCUAGUCGGUUAAGUCUUGUUGAGUACUUUUGUACUCAGGGUUUUAUAACCCCUGUUGCAGGUGCUAACUUAGACUGCUAAUGGAGGUCAUGUCGGUGGGCGCGACAUGAUUUAUCCACCUCUUCUACCUUAGAAGCUUCACCUAAGAUGCUUCCGCUACUCUACACACCUUUUGGAAAUUUAGUUAAGUUUGUACUUCAUCAUAUGUUGUAAAUUAAGUAAUAAAUCUUCCGCACACUGAUGUAAGUUAUUUUUGAAACAAAUGUUGUAAUGUUGUGGUAACUCCAUGUUGAUCCUGUAUGAGUUAAAAUGUGGAUGAUUCGGGGUCCUCCGAGGGCACCCGACAGACUUCUUGAGUCAUUUGGAACUCGUGCACGUCGAUCAAAAGUCUUUGAGACAAUGAUGGGUGCAUGUGGGCCAAUUAAUUCAGGAGGUUCUGCCACAGAGUGGUAUCAGAGCUCAUACAUGGAUCUUCUACAACAUUACUAGUGAAAAACUUCAAAACGAAUUUACAAAUUAAUAGUUUUGAGGAUAACAACUUGUAAAUGCUCCUUAACUUUUCUUAUGCUUGCUGUCCGGGUUCUACGAAGACUUUCUGCUAACUCAAAUAGAAGACAUUGAAAGAGACUUCAAGUCUUUGGCAAGCCAAGUGAAGAAUCAAACCACAAUGCUUUGUCAAGAGUCUUGCAGCAUUCCGUCUGGAGCACUCUCGCCGUUGUAAAGACGUAUAGGCGAGCAUAUUGCAUAUCAUGCAUAACAUGACAAUAUAAUGAUACUUAAAAGCCCCUCCUUAUGCUUCAAAAACAGUUAUUAUUUGUUAUAGCUGUUUUAUUGAUGAAUCUCAUCAUGUACCAGGUUUCGUUAACUGAUUGAUAAUCUUUUACUCCAUAAGAUCCUAAUCCUUGAUUCAUUUGUUAUGCAUGUGACCUUCCUUGAUUUCAUCUAAUUCGUACACAUGCUACCUCCUUGAUGUCAUUUGUCAACAUUUCUGUUGAUUGAAUGUCACUAUGAUUGUGUCCUCUUAAGGUACCAUGACCCAUAACUUAGGUAACAACGCCGAAACCUGGGGUCUCCUAUGGCUCGCGACCAUAAGGAAAUACUGCCGGGCGCUCGCUGUUAUCAAAGUCUAUGAUCAUGAUCCCUUAUAGACCCACAACUUAGGUGAUCUCACUCUUUGGACCAUAUUAUGGGAAUCCAUGCCCAUAUCUCUUUGGAAUUACCUGAAGCCCCUGACUUGGAUAACCAACAUAGGUCAUUGAAAGCUAUGGUAACCGUACUCUAUAGUAGGUACCAUGAUCCGUGAUCACGUUAUAGCGUCGAACCUUGUAGUCUCCUGUGGACUGCAGCCAUAAGGAAAUACUACAGGGUGCUCGUUAAACAUCGGGAUCUCUGGUCAUGCUCCACUAUAAUCUACUGUUAGUGUGCUUUCAUUCUCCUUGGAAGCUCAUUUGGAGAUUCAUAUCUUCGUAUGAAUUCUCUAAAAUUCCUGAUUGAUUACAACUUCUUGUUGAUCUUAGUUGUAAUUCUCGGACCAAUCAUAAUUGUUGUAUGAACUUCUCAGAAGUUAAUGUGCUUGAUACAUUCCCUUUUCCAUUACAUAACCCCACGGGUUUUAGUACCCUGGAAAUCUCGGGACGAGAUUUCUUUAAGGGGGAAGGGCUGUAACAUCCCUGAUGUUACGAACACUAAAACUGGAUCAUGUCAUCAUAAGCAUUGCAAAGCAUAUUUGUUGAGCACAUCAUUAUGCAUCAACUUAAAAAUAAGUUUAUUUUGGUUGAUUGUGCUUAGGGAAUUAAAGUGUGUUUAUCAUGCUUGUGAUGGUUGUUUAAUCCCUAGUUAAGGAGGGUGGUAAGGGAAUAGCUAAGAAAAACCCCUAAUUUCAACCCCAGUUUUUACCUCCUUUUGUGUAACUUAAAAACUAAGCAAAAUUUGGGGAUGAGUUCAAAAGAAAAGUUGUAGAUAUUAUCAAGGUGUACAACUUUGGUGUUUUGAGUUUUUGAAGUUUCAGUAAAAAUUCAAAGUAAUUUUGAAAAUACAGAUUUCCAGAAAUUUUUCCCUUUUCCAAUUUGAAUCCCCAAUUCAAAAUCUAUUUGGAAUCUUGAAAAGUGGCCAACAUAAAAGUUGUAGAUCUCAAAAAGUUAAACAACUUUUAUGUUGGAAAUUUUAAGUUGUUUUAGAAAAUCAAAAGUAAUUUUGGAAUUUCUAAUCUGCCCCAAUUCAAAAUUGGAAUUUUUCCCAAUUUGAGAUUUGAAUUUCAAAAUGUUUGGCUCAAAUUCGUCCAUUUCCAUUUAAAAUCAGCCUUGGACCCUUAAAGAUGUUUUGUAGCAUUCAAAAUUCUGAACAAGUUUUAUUUUAGCAGAAAUUUGACUUCAGUUCAAUUUUUGAGAGUAAUUUGCAAAAGAUAGGGAAGGGAGGGAUAGAGCUUGCUACAGUAUCCGGAUAUGGAUCACGAGUCCAGUCACCGCGCGGCCGCAGGCCAUGCAGCGCCGCGCGCGCCUCGCCGCCACGCAGCUACUUGCCGGCCGCGUCACCACGCGACGUGGACGCCCGCGACCCCUCCGCUUCGUCCUUUUGAAUGCCCACGCGGCCGACUUCGAGUUCCUCUGUUUUCGACGGCCAAAACCACCGGCGACCACUCCCUUCGCAAAUACACCAUACUCGAUCCCUCCCCAACUCAAUUGAGCCUUCCACCACUUUCGCCGCACUCUUGCGAACCUAGAGCGCUCCCUAGCACGCCCUCUAACCCGCCCAAUCGCUGGAGCUUCUUCUUCUUCCCCAACUCCGGCCGAAAGCGCCGCCGUGGGCGCAUCACGUGGCCAGCCCUCCUCCGUGCUUCUCCACCAGUUCUGAGCAGCUUGACGAAGUCGUGCUGAGCCCCUGAUGCUCCCCAACUCGUCCCCUCGCCUUCCCGGCGGCCGGAGCGCCAAGUUUUCCCCUAGCCCCGUCCAGAGCUCCGCCAGUGCCGCUGUUCACGUGGCCAUGCCUCCACAGACCACCUCUGGCCAAGUAGAGGGAACCAGAGGGUGUGCGUGAGUCCAAGUGAACUCCCCCGCUGCUCCACUGCCGCCGACGAGCACCCCAACGUCAAAUCUGCGA